CUACGGGUUGCUGCAGUGAGGAAUAUUGGUCAAUGGGCGAGAGCCUGAACCAGCCAUCCCGCGUGCAGGAUGACGGCCCUAUGGGUUGUAAACUGCUUUUCCAUACCAAGAAACCUGAUUACGUGUAAUUAGUUGCCGGUAGUAUGGGAAUAAGCAUCGGCUAACUCCGUGGCCAGCAGCCGCGGUAAUACGGAGGAUGCAAGCGUUAUCCGGAUUCAUUGGGUUUAAAGGGUGCGCAGGUGGGCUUGUAAGUCAGUGGUGAAAUGUUGCCGCUUAACGGUAAAAUUGCCAUUGAUACUGCAAGUCUUGAAUAUAGUUGAGGUAGGCGGAAUGUGUUGUGUAGCGGUGAGAUGCAUAGAUAUGACACAGAACACCGAUUGCGAAGGCAGCUUACUAAGCUAUUAUUGACGCUGAGGCACGAAAGCGUGGGGAUCGAACAGGAUUAGAUACCCGUGUAGUC
RNAcentral lists this ribosomal RNA (460 nucleotides) under uncultured bacterium. Its description in RNAcentral is "partial 16S ribosomal RNA". It matches the Rfam family "Bacterial small subunit ribosomal RNA", at positions 339 to 795 of the family's 1533-position model. The record is from RNAcentral.